This 549-nucleotide ribosomal RNA is filed under the name [Candida] sp. LCF-112. RNAcentral describes it as "eukaryotic LSU rRNA". The stretch from base 171 to 324 matches the Rfam family "5.8S ribosomal RNA". The record is from RNAcentral. Lineage: Eukaryota; Fungi; Ascomycota; Saccharomycetes; Saccharomycetales.
UUUCCGUAGGUGAACCUGCGGAAGGAUCAUUACAGUAUAGUCUGCGCUUAGGUGCGCGAUUACACACAGUGUUUUUUCUUUGAAAACUUUCUCUGGCGGGAGCAAUCACGCCAGGGGUAUAACUCAACUAAUGUUUUUAUUUUUAUUGUCGACUGAUUAUUUAAUAUCAAAACUUUCAACAACGGAUCUCUUGGUUCUCGCAUCGAUGAAGAACGCAGCGAAAUGCGAUAAGUAAUAUGAAUUGCAGAUAUUCGUGAAUCAUCGAAUCUUUGAACGCACAUUGCGCCCUGUGGUAUUCCACAGGGCAUGCCUGUUUGAGCGUCAUUUCUCUCUCAAGCCCUCGGGUUUGGUAUUGAGUGAUACUCUUAGUCAGACUAAGCGUUUGCUUGAAAUGUAUUGGCGUGAGUGGUGCGAAAGCUCCCUGGAAUUACAAUGUAUUAGGUUCUACCAACUCGUUGUUUCUCUGAGGAAGUUGCAGUGCUGUAGCCCCGCCUAACAAAUCACCAAACAAGUUUGACCUCAAAUCAGGUAGGAUUACCCGCUGAACUU